RNAcentral lists this ribosomal RNA (301 nucleotides) under uncultured bacterium. RNAcentral describes it as "partial 16S ribosomal RNA". It matches the Rfam family "Bacterial small subunit ribosomal RNA", at positions 509 to 808 of the family's 1533-position model. The record is from RNAcentral.
CAGCCGCGCGGUAAUACGAAGGGGGCUAGCGUUGCUCGGAAUGACUGGGCGUAAAGGGCGCGUAGGCGGUUUAUACAGUCAGAUGUGAAAUUCCUGGGCUCAACCUGGGGACUGCAUUUGAUACGUAUGGACUUGAGUGGAGAAGAGGGUCGUGGAAUUUCCAGUGUAGAGGUGAAAUUCGUAGAUAUUGGAAAGAACACCGGUGGCGAAGGCGGCGACCUGGUCUUUAACUGACGCUGAGGCGCGAAAGCGUGGGGAGCAAACAGGAUUAGAUACCCCGGUAGUCCCUGUCUCUUAUACA